CUCGUAGGCGGUUCGUCGCGUCCGGUGUGAAAGUCCAUCGCUUAACGGUGGAUCCGCGCCGGGUACGGGCGGGCUUGAGUGCGGUAGGGGAGACUGGAAUUCCCGGUGUAACGGUGGAAUGUGUAGAUAUCGGGAGGAACACCAAUGGCGAAGGCAGGUCUCUGGGCCGUUACUGACGCUGAGGCUCGAAAGCGUGGGGAGCAAACA
Molecule: ribosomal RNA, 207 nt
Filed under: uncultured bacterium
Lineage: Bacteria
Description: partial 16S ribosomal RNA
Rfam family: Bacterial small subunit ribosomal RNA
Source: RNAcentral